UGGGGAAUAUUGGACAAUGGGGGGAACCCUGAUCCAGCCAUGCCGCGUGUGUGAAGAAGGCCUUUUGGUUGUAAAGCACUUUAAGCGAGGAGGAGGCUACCGAGAUUAAUACUCUUGGAUAGUGGACGUUACUCGCAAAAUAAGCACCGGCUAACUCUGUGCCAGCAGCCGCGGUAAUACAGAGGGUGCAAGCGUUAAUCGGAUUUACUGGGCGUAAAGCGCGCGUAGGUGGCCAAUUAAGUCAAAUGUGAAAUCCCCGAGCUUAACUUGGGAAUUGCAUUCGAUACUGGUUGGCUAGAGUAUGGGAGAGGAUGGUAGAAUUCCAGGUGUAGCGGUGAAAUGCGUAGAGAUCUGGAGGAAUACCGAUGGCGAAGGCAGCCAUCUGGCCUAAUACUGACACUGAGGUGCGAAAGCAUGGGGAGCAAACAGG
RNAcentral lists this ribosomal RNA (430 nucleotides) under bacterium. RNAcentral's name for it is "partial 16S ribosomal RNA". It matches the Rfam family "Bacterial small subunit ribosomal RNA", at positions 355 to 776 of the family's 1533-position model. The record is from RNAcentral.